RNAcentral lists this non-coding RNA (29 nucleotides) under Rattus norvegicus (Norway rat). The record is from RNAcentral. Lineage: Eukaryota; Metazoa; Chordata; Mammalia; Rodentia; Muridae.
UCUCCUUAAAGGUGCUGAACGAUGUUGUU